This 480-nucleotide ribosomal RNA is filed under the name uncultured bacterium. RNAcentral's name for it is "partial 16S ribosomal RNA". It matches the Rfam family "Bacterial small subunit ribosomal RNA", at positions 28 to 507 of the family's 1533-position model. The record is from RNAcentral.
GAUGAACGCUAGCGGCAGGCCUAAUACAUGCAAGUCGAGGGGUAUGGGUUGCUUUCAACCCAGAGACCGGCGCACGGGUGCGUAACGCGUAUGCAAUCUACCUUAAUCAGGGGGAUAGCCCGGAGAAAUCCGGAUUAACACCGCAUAACAUUGAGUUGUGGCAUCACAGUUCAAUCACAUAUUUAUAGGAUUAAGAUGAGCAUGCGUGACAUUAGUUAGUUGGUGAGGUAACGGCUCACCAAGACCACGAUGUCUAGGGGAUCUGAGAGGAUGACCCCCCACAGGGGUACCGGGACAAGGACCAGAGUCGUACGGGACGCAGCAGUAAGGAAUAUUGCUAAAUGGGCGAAAGCCUGAACGAGCCAUGCCGCGUGCAGGAAGGCGGCACUAUGGGUUAUAAACUGCUUUUGUACCGGAAUAAACCUUCGCUUGCGAGAGAAGCUGAACGUACGGUAAGAAUAAGGAUCGGCUAACUCCGUG